UGGGGAAUAUUGGACAAUGGGCGCAAGCCUGAUCCAGCCAUGCCGCGUGGGUGAUGAAGGCCCUAGGGUUGUAAAGCCCUUUCGGCGGGGAAGAUAAUGACGGUACCCGCAGAAGAAGCCCCGGCUAACUUCGUGCCAGCAGCCGCGGUAAUACGAAGGGGGCUAGCGUUGCUCGGAAUUACUGGGCGUAAAGCGCACGUAGGCGGCUUUCUAAGUCGGGGGUGAAAUCCUGGAGCUCAACUCCAGAACUGCCUUCGAUACUGGAGAGCUUGAGUCCGGGAGAGGUGAGUGGAACUGCGAGUGUAGAGGUGAAAUUCGUAGAUAUUCGCAAGAACACCAGUGGCGAAGGCGGCUCACUGGCCCGGUACUGACGCUGAGGUGCGAAAGCGUGGGGAGCAAACAGGAUUAGAUACCCCCGUAGUCC
RNAcentral lists this ribosomal RNA (424 nucleotides) under uncultured bacterium. Its description in RNAcentral is "bacterial SSU rRNA". It matches the Rfam family "Bacterial small subunit ribosomal RNA", at positions 355 to 796 of the family's 1533-position model. The record is from RNAcentral.